UAGAGUUUGAUCCUGGCUCAGGAUGAACGCUAGCUACAGGCUUAACACAUGCAAGUCGAGGGGCAGCAUUUUAGUUUGCUUGCAAACUAAAGAUGGCGACCGGCGCACGGGUGAGUAACACGUAUCCAACCUGCCGAUAACUCGGGGAUAGCCUUUCGAAAGAAAGAUUAAUAUCCGAUAGUAUAUUAAAACCGCAUGGUUUUACUAUUAAAGAAUUUCGGUUAUCGAUGGGGAUGCGUUCCAUUAGUUUGUUGGCGGGGUAACGGCCCACCAAGACUACGAUGGAUAGGGGUUCUGAGAGGAAGGUCCCCCACAUUGGAACUGAGACACGGUCCAAACUCCUACGGGAGGCAGCAGUGAGGAAUAUUGGUCAAUGGACGAGAGUCUGAACCAGCCAAGUAGCGUGAAGGAUGACUGCCCUAUGGGUUGUAAACUUCUUUUAUAUGGGAAUAAAGUAUUCCACGUGUGGAAUUUUGUAUGUACCAUAUGAAUAAGGAUCGGCUAACUCCGUGCCAGCAGCCGCGGUAAUACGGAGGAUCCGAGCGUUAUCCGGAUUUAUUGGGUUUAAAGGGAGCGUAGGUGGAUUGUUAAGUCAGUUGUGAAAGUUUGCGGCUCAACCGUAAAAUUGCAGUUGAAACUGGCAGUCUUGAGUACAGUAGAGGUGGGCGGAAUUCGUGGUGUAGCGGUGAAAUGCUUAGAUAUCACGAAGAACUCCGAUUGCGAAGGCAGCUCACUAGACUGCAACUGACACUGAUGCUCGAAAGUGUGGGUAUCAAACAGGAUUAGAUACCCUGGUAGUCCACACAGUAAACGAUGAAUACUCGCUGUUUGCGAUAUACAGUAAGCGGCCAAGCGAAAGCAUUAAGUAUUCCACCUGGGGAGUACGCCGGCAACGGUGAAACUCAAAGGAAUUGACGGGGGCCCGCACAAGCGGAGGAACAUGUGGUUUAAUUCGAUGAUACGCGAGGAACCUUACCCGGGCUUAAAUUGCAUUUGAAUAAUCUGGAAACAGGUUAGCCGCAAGGCAAAUGUGAAGGUGCUGCAUGGUUGUCGUCAGCUCGUGCCGUGAGGUGUCGGCUUAAGUGCCAUAACGAGCGCAACCCUUAUCUUUAGUUACUAACAGGUCAUGCUGAGGACUCUAGAGAGACUGCCGUCGUAAGAUGUGAGGAAGGUGGGGAUGACGUCAAAUCAGCACGGCCCUUACGUCCGGGGCUACACACGUGUUACAAUGGGGGGUACAGAAGGCAGCUACCUGGUGACAGGAUGCUAAUCCCAAAAACCUCUCUCAGUUCGGAUCGAAGUCUGCAACCCGACUUCGUGAAGCUGGAUUCGCUAGUAAUCGCGCAUCAGCCAUGGCGCGGUGAAUACGUUCCCGGGCCUUGUACACACCGCCCGUCAAGCCAUGAAAGCCGGGGGUACCUGAAGUACGUAACCGCAAGGAGCGUCCUAGGGUAAAACUGGUAAUUGGGGCUAAGUCGUAACAAGG
This 1486-nucleotide ribosomal RNA is filed under the name Bacteroidaceae bacterium Smarlab 3301643. RNAcentral describes it as "bacterial SSU rRNA". It matches the Rfam family "Bacterial small subunit ribosomal RNA". Lineage: Bacteria; Pseudomonadati; Bacteroidota; Bacteroidia; Bacteroidales; Bacteroidaceae. The record is from RNAcentral.